CCUGGUGAACUAAAACAUCUUAGUAACAAGAGGAAAAGAGAGGAAAAGCAAUUCCCGUAGUAGCGGCGAGCGAAAUUGGA
RNAcentral lists this ribosomal RNA (80 nucleotides) under Triticum aestivum (bread wheat). RNAcentral describes it as "rRNA LSU_rRNA_eukarya". It matches the Rfam family "Bacterial large subunit ribosomal RNA", at positions 184 to 263 of the family's 2925-position model. The record is from RNAcentral. Lineage: Eukaryota; Viridiplantae; Streptophyta; Magnoliopsida; Poales; Poaceae.